GGGGAGGCGCGGGGAGCUUGCUGCGGCUCGUCACCCGGACCGGGGAGAAGACGCCCCCCACCCUCUCUAGUUCGCCCUCUCCAUUCAAGUUUGCCGGCCCCUGCCGCCGAGAUCCGGAGAUGGCACCAGCCGCCCGCCCUGCGCUGUGCCCUGUUUCCAGCCACGGCUCAGAAAUUUAGGUCAAGGACGUCGGGAGCAAACCCACACCCCGGCGCUUCUCUGGCGGCCCCCGAGACCCCCCAGGAUCGGGGGGCUUCAGGAUAGCGGAGACCCUCCUGCACAAACACCAGCCACAAGUUUUAUUUUCCUUUUGCGCUGGAAGUUCUCUCUGGCUCUCGCUCCACACCGGCACGUCUUGCGCGGUUCCCCGCCCUUCCCCAGUAGAGGAUUAGGAGACAAAGGAAGACACUCAACACCAAAACUGUACCAAAUCUACUGUGGGUUUUGGAAAAAUGGAAUAUUUGGAAAAUCUCAACACCAGCCAUAUCCUUGAGUGACCAGACCCUCAAUCUCCCCAUUCCCUGAAUUGCAGUAAUUCCUCCUUGACAGGAUUGAUGGGGUGAAGUCACCAACUUCGCCUUGAUGAAAGGUGCGGAGGCCCCCAGAAGAAAAUGAUUACACCUUUCAACUCCACCUGGAAACAGUUGACAGAGGGCCACCGUCACCUUCCCUGCCUCCUUUCCACCACCCUUGCAGUUUGCCCCAUCUCCACCGUGACCUGCCUUGCCAAACCGAAAUAGAAUUGUCUGGAAACUCCAUGGAACAAGGCCUCAUCUGUUUCACCCUUUACCGCACCUCCAGCACCUAGAACAAUGCCAACACGUGGUAGGAGAUCAACAAGUAUUCGUUGAAUGAAUAAACUUUACAUUUCUAUAAUUCUCUUCCAAAAAACAGUUUAUUUUUAAAAAGCUCAACAUUCAAAUACCAACUAAGUAAAGAGACCUAUUAAAGAUGCAAUUAUUUAAAUUACAAGGUGGACUCAUUGAUGUAGGAAAGUUUCCCUCUCUCUUUAACAACUGUCCGUAAAGUCUAGGGAGAAGAGAAGUUUAAUACCAAAAUCUAAAAUAUUUUCCACCUAUUCCCAAAUCAUUUUCUGUCAUAUUAUUCUAUUUUUUCUUCUUCCUAGCACUUCUCAUUCUGAAAUUAUUGUGCUAAUUUCUGUUUCCUUGCUAAUUGCCUGCUUCUCGCCCCCUAUCCAAGAGAGAAGAGACUUUGCCUGUCAUCUUAUUUGCGGCACAAGCCUAGCACAAAGCAAGUGCCCAGAAAACAUUUGUUGAAUAAGUGAAUUUUAAACGCCUAGAAAUAAAGAGAAAAAAACAAUUAAGAUGAACAUGAAAUGCAACGAAACACACAAAUGUGCACAUGUUCACAAAAAAUCAGGACGCAGAGACCUUUUUGGCAAGAGAGCUGCAACUGAAGGGUGAAGAGCUGACCACACAGUGAGCCAGGCAUGAAUUAGAUCCUGUUUGUAACCCACUCCCCACCUGCCGUCAGAACUCAUCACAGAGUUGGACUGGGAAGUGGUGUCUCUGGCACAGGGAACCGGGAAAACACAGGCGACCUUGCAGGUAACCAGGAUCAGAAUAUAAAGCUGGACCUUCAGGGAAGCAGGCUGUGCCUGGAUGUCUCAGGUCACCAACAGGAUGGUGUUAGUUACAAUUCCCUGAGGUCCACCAUGAGCUACCAGGAUGGUGGGAGUGGCAGCAAGAUUGUCCUGUGCCUAGGAGGGCUUUGCUUGCUUUACUUGCUCCUAAGCCUGCAGAGGGAGAUGAUCUUGAUUUAACCCAAUUCAAACCAGCACCCAUUAUAUGGAAAACAGUGUGCUAGGUGCAGACGGUGGUGGAGAAGUGAGAGGUGUGCCACCUGUGCCCAGGCUGAAGAUAGCCACAGACAGAUCAGGAAAGAGCAAAGGUGUCUCUGAAACAGGAUGGAGGGGCAAAGUGGCAGGGGAAAGGGGGCCAGAAGCCUGAAGUUAUGACAAGAGAGGCAAAGAGACUCCCCAGAGGGACCAGUGCUGGAGGUGGCUGGCAAGGAGGGCCUUCCGGGGCAGGCAAGCCAGGGCAUGUUUCGGAGCCUGGAGAGCCCUAUUAGGCUGGAGGCAGGUACAGUCUGCAGGUAGGUGCAAGGACAGCAAUUUAUUACCAGAAGUUCCGGUAAAGUCCCUCCGGACCAAUGAAGCCGGCUAGCAAAGGAAAGUGGUUUUCCAAGUAAAUGCCUGGAGAGCAGCUGCACAGCUUUGCCAGGAAGGGGAAGGCAGGCAAGGGCAGGCAGAACCACAGGUGGCACCGCAGUGAUGGACGAUACGUCCAGAAAGGUAUCUGGGGCAUGUCGGGAUUGAACAAGAUAAUGAAUGACCAUUGGGAGGCAUGAAGGGAAACUGGGGAAGAGAGAGAGUAAUUAUAAAAGUAAUAGAAGAAUGUUUUGCUUGGUCCUGGACAAACUGACUCUGAAAUUAAUCUGGAGUACACCAGUGUUCACAGCAGCAUUAUUCACAAUAGCCAAAUGGUGGAAACAACACAAGAUCCAAGUGUCCAUCAACAGAUGAACUGAUAAAACAAAUAUAUAUAGGUGGUACAUAUAUAAAUGACAUAUUAUUGAGCCAUAAAAAGGAAUAAAGGAGUGAUACAUGCAUGCUAUGAUGUGGAUAGGCCUUGAAGACACUAUGCUAAGUGAAAUAAGCCAGAUACCAGAAGAUAAAUAUUAUACGAUUCCACUUAUAUGAGCUACACCCAGAGUAGUCAAAUUCCUACAGACAGAACGGUGUCUGCCAGGGACUUGGGGAAGGGGAGAAUGGGAGUUAGUGUUUAAUGGGUAUAGAAUUUCAGUUUGGAAUGAUAAAGUUCUGCACUAGAUAUUAGCCAAAAGGCUGAGAAGUGAUGAUUUUUAAAAAGUUCUGGAAAUAG
Cercocebus atys (sooty mangabey) is the source of this 2903-nucleotide long non-coding RNA. RefSeq lists it as uncharacterized. The record is from RefSeq and is a predicted model, not a curated record. The transcript has 4 exons. Lineage: Eukaryota; Metazoa; Chordata; Mammalia; Primates; Cercopithecidae.